This is a non-coding RNA of Rhea pennata, 71 nucleotides long. The record is from the annotation of a RefSeq genome assembly. Lineage: Eukaryota; Metazoa; Chordata; Aves; Rheiformes; Rheidae.
GUGUUGGUGGUUUAGUGGUAGAAUUUUUGCCUGCCAUGCGGGAGGCCUGGGUUCAGUUCCCAGCCAAUGCA